This 253-nucleotide ribosomal RNA is filed under the name uncultured bacterium. Its description in RNAcentral is "partial 16S ribosomal RNA". It matches the Rfam family "Bacterial small subunit ribosomal RNA", at positions 524 to 776 of the family's 1533-position model. The record is from RNAcentral.
UACGUAGGGUGCGAGCGUUGUCCGGAAUUAUUGGGCGUAAAGGGCUCGUAGGCGGUCUGUCGCGUCUGCUGUGAAAACCCGCGGCUCAACCGCGGGCCUGCAUUCGAUACGGGCAGACUAGAGUUCGGUAGGGGAGUCUGGAAUUCCUGGUGUAGCGGUGAAAUGCGCAGAUAUCAGGAGGAACACCGGUGGCGAAGGCGGGACUCUGGGCCGAUACUGACGCUGAGGAGCGAAAGCGUGGGGAGCAAACAGG